Molecule: ribosomal RNA, 1496 nt
Filed under: Listeria monocytogenes
Lineage: Bacteria; Bacillati; Bacillota; Bacilli; Caryophanales; Listeriaceae
Description: bacterial LSU rRNA
Rfam family: Bacterial large subunit ribosomal RNA
Source: RNAcentral
CGAAACCAGGUGAUCUACCCAUGUCCAGGAUGAAGGUAAGGUAAUACUUACUGGAGGUCCGAACCCACGCACGUUGAAAAGUGCGGGGAUGAGGUGUGGGUAGCGGAGAAAUUCCAAUCGAACUUGGAGAUAGCUGGUUCUCUCCGAAAUAGCUUUAGGGCUAGCCUCGAGGUAAAGAGUCAUGGAGGUAGAGCACUGUUUGGACUAGGGGCCCUUCUCGGGUUACCGAAUUCAGAUAAACUCCGAAUGCCAUGUACUUAUACUCGGGAGUCAGACUGCGAGUGAUAAGAUCCGUAGUCGAAAGGGAAACAGCCCAGACCACCAGUUAAGGUCCCCAAAUAUAUGUUAAGUGGAAAAGGAUGUGGGGUUGCUUAGACAACCAGGAUGUUGGCUUAGAAGCAGCCACCAUUGAAAGAGUGCGUAAUAGCUCACUGGUCGAGUGACCCCGCGCCGAAAAUGUACCGGGGCUAAACAUAUUACCGAAACUGUGGAUGAACCUCAUUAGAGGUUCGUGGUAGGAGAGCGUUCUAAGGGCGGUGAAGUCAGACCGGAAGGACUGGUGGAGCGCUUAGAAGUGAGAAUGCCGGUAUGAGUAGCGAAAGAAGGGUGAGAAUCCCUUCCACCGAAUAUCUAAGGUUUCCUGAGGAAGGCUCGUCCGCUCAGGGUUAGUCGGGACCUAAGCCGAGGCCGAUAGGCGUAGGCGAUGGACAACAGGUAGAGAUUCCUGUACCAGUGCUAAUUGUUUAACCGAUGGGGUGACACAGAAGGAUAGGGAAUCGCACGAAUGGAAAUGUGCGUCCAAGCAGUGAGUGUGAGAAGUAGGCAAAUCCGCUUCUCGCGAAGCAUGAGCUGUGAUGGGGAAGGAAAUUAAGUACGGAAGUUCCUGAUUUCACGCUGUCAAGAAAAGCCUCUAGGAAGAGUAGUACUGCCCGUACCGCAAACCGACACAGGUAGAUGAGGAGAGAAUCCUAAGGUGAGCGAGAGAACUCUCGUUAAGGAACUCGGCAAAAUGACCCCGUAACUUCGGGAGAAGGGGUGCUCUAUUAGGGUGCAAGCCCGAGAGAGCCGCAGUGAAUAGGCCCAGGCGACUGUUUAGCAAAAACACAGGUCUCUGCAAAACCGUAAGGUGACGUAUAGGGGCUGACGCCUGCCCGGUGCUGGAAGGUUAAGAGGAGUGCUUAGCUUCGGCGAAGGUACGAAUUGAAGCCCCAGUAAACGGCGGCCGUAACUAUAACGGUCCUAAGGUAGCGAAAUUCCUUGUCGGGUAAGUUCCGACCCGCACGAAAGGCGCAACGAUCUGGGCACUGUCUCAACGAGAGACUCGGUGAAAUUAUAGUACCUGUGAAGAUGCAGGUUACCCGCGACAGGACGGAAAGACCCCGUGGAGCUUUACUGCAACCUGAUAUGGAAUGUUUGUACCGCUUGUACAGGAUAGGUAGGAGCCGAAGAGACGUGUGCGCUAGCAUACGAGGAGGCAAUGGUGGGAUACUACCCUG